AUUAGUAAGCGGAGGAAAAGAAACUAACCAGGAUUCCCCUAGUAGCUGCGAGCGAACAGGGAAAAGCCCAGCACUGAAUCCCGCGUUCGGAAACGAUCGCCGGGAAAUGUGGUGUUAGGGAGGAUCCGUUAUCCCGUGGAUGUGCGGUGCGUAUAAGUCCUUCUUGAACGGGGUCACCGCCCAAAGGGGGUGCCAGUCCCGUAACUACUGCCGCCUUCUACGGGAGGAUCUCUCCUCAGAGUCGGGUUGCUUGAGAGUGCAGCCCUAAGUGGGUGGUAAACUCCAUCUAAGGCUAAAUAGAACCACGAGACCGAUAGCGAACAAGUACCGUGAGGGAAAGUUGAAAAGAACUUUGCAGAGAGAGUUCAAUAGUACGUGAAACCGUUCAGGGGUAAACCUGAGAAACCCGAAAGGUCGAAAGGGGAGAUUCAGCGCGGAUCAGGUGACGGUGCCGGUCGUACGUGUGACGAACGAUGUUCGCAUCGCGAGCUCCGUAUUUCCGUUCUUGCCGUUUCUGAACGCGUGCACUUCUCCCCGAGUAGGACGUCGCGACCCGUUGGGCGUCGGUCUAAGGAUCGCGGUGGAGUCCGUGCGGUCGGUUUGCCGUUCCGCUCGAACCCGUGACUCCCGGCCGACACGCUCGACGGUAUAUCUAAGGCGUCGGGCCGCUUAUUUAUUUAGCGUUCGUACCUGGGCAAGCACGUUCGUUGUUUCGGUGCUCGGACUUUGUGCCGGUCCCGUUCGCGGACUGCUGUUCGCCUAGGUUUUCUCGAACGGACCCGUAUUUUGAAACGCCGCUCAGCGACGCCGUUGCUUUGGGUAAUUUCAGGACCCGU
Molecule: ribosomal RNA, 836 nt
Filed under: Ceracis sp. 1 TK-2020
Lineage: Eukaryota; Metazoa; Arthropoda; Insecta; Coleoptera; Ciidae
Description: partial 28S ribosomal RNA
Rfam family: Eukaryotic large subunit ribosomal RNA
Source: RNAcentral